CCCCAAGAUACUGGCUACGUUGCCUCGUU
This 29-nucleotide small RNA is filed under the name Bombyx mori (domestic silkworm). RNAcentral describes it as "piRNA piR-bmo-1280442". The record is from RNAcentral. Lineage: Eukaryota; Metazoa; Arthropoda; Insecta; Lepidoptera; Bombycidae.